This is a long non-coding RNA of Pipistrellus kuhlii (Kuhl's pipistrelle), 146 nucleotides long. RefSeq lists it as uncharacterized. The record is from RefSeq and is a predicted model, not a curated record. Lineage: Eukaryota; Metazoa; Chordata; Mammalia; Chiroptera; Vespertilionidae. The transcript has 4 exons.
GGAACAGGGUGGGCAUUUACUGUGGCGGGAUGGUGAAGCAGAUGAGUGGGGGCACCAGACCAAGGCAAGGCAUCAGUUGCUGUCAUCAGGGCGAGCCUCUGGUGGUUACUGAAAAUUCUUUGCUCCUGCACUCUGCUGUGGUGCUG